RNAcentral lists this ribosomal RNA (492 nucleotides) under uncultured bacterium. RNAcentral describes it as "partial 16S ribosomal RNA". It matches the Rfam family "Bacterial small subunit ribosomal RNA", at positions 29 to 507 of the family's 1533-position model. The record is from RNAcentral.
AGUGAACGCUGGCGGUAGGCCUAACACAUGCAAGUCGAACGGCAGCACAGUAAGAGCUUGCUCUUACGGGUGGCGAGUGGCGGACGGGUGAGGAAUACAUCGGAAUCUACUUUUUCGUGGGGGCUAACGUAGGGAGACUUACGCUAAUACCGCAUACGACCUACGGGUGAAAGCAGGGGAUCUUCGGACCUUGCGCGAUUGAAUGAGCCGAUGUCGGAUUAGCUAGUUGGCGGGGUAAAGGCCCACCAAGGCGACGAUCCGUAGCUGGUCUGAGAGGAUGAUCAGCCACACUGGAACUGAGACACGGUCCAGACUCCUACGGGAGGCAGCAGUGGGGAAUAUUGGACAAUGGGCGCAAGCCUGAUCCAGCCAUAGCGCGUGGGUGAAGAAGGCCUUCGGGUUGUAAAGCCCUUUUGUUGGGAAAGAAAAGCAGCAGGUUAAUACCCCGCUGUUCUGACGGUACCCAAAGAAUAAGCAUCGGCUAACUUCGUG